Molecule: long non-coding RNA, 929 nt
Filed under: Homo sapiens (human)
Lineage: Eukaryota; Metazoa; Chordata; Mammalia; Primates; Hominidae
Description: HSALNT0316243
Source: RNAcentral
CUAUGACAGACAAGGCAAGCUCUACUCUCAGAAGCAAAAAUUAUAUAUCUAGGAGUCAGAGUAUGAAUCAAGAAGAAUGGACUUCUGCUUCUUAUCUACCUAAUGCCAGCACUCUGGCAGGCUAUGUUUCCUGGCACUGGGGUUUUGAAUGAGGAAGAAUUGCUUCCAAGCACAGUGCCCUGAGGAAAAGACCACAACCUCUACUUUAUUGUCUCUUCUUAACAACAUUUACAAUUUUUUUUUUCUCCUGCUGUUGAGGGACAAAGAGCAAAGCAACUCUGCUAAGAACGUGACAGUUACAGUUCACAUUCAACCUGCUGCCGACCUGUUUUCAGAUAUUAAAACCCUUUGGCUCAUCCUGUCCACUCCCUACUAUGUGUAGUUUACACUGGAAAAAGAAGGCUUCAAAGUGUGUCAAGAGUUAACACCUCAAGACAAUCACCACUUGGCUCUUUGAGAGCUAUCUGCCAGGAGGAGCCUCAUAGCUUGAUAGAUACACUGCAAUUUUUCAUCUUUUCAGCCAGGGUGAAUUUUGCUUUUUGACUAUGGCUUUUGGAUUUCCAAGAACAGAGAGUUGAAGCUUGUAUCUACACAAGGCUACUAAAGCACUCUAUUUGUCAGAUGUUUCAAAGAUAAUGAUGACAGCAAUGCAUUUUCUACAUUCAUAUCCUCAAUCAUAUGUUUUUGAAUGCUUACUGGAAAACCGGUUUAAAAGAAAGGUGACUAGUUAUUGGUCUUGCUCUGACAGCCGUGGAAACCAUUUGCUGAUGAAAGCACAAGCAACAACAACAAAAAAGAUGAAUAAACUGGAUUUCAACAAAAACACAUUUGUGCUUCAGAGAACAUAAUCAAGAAAGUGAAAAGGCAACCCACCAAUGGGAGAACACAGUUUCAAAACAUAUAUCUAAUAAAAUAUUUGAGUCCAGAUU